GGUGUCUGCUCAGUGGUAAAGCACUUGCCUAGCAUGCAUGAGGCUCUGGGUUCAAUCCCCAUCACCA
RNAcentral lists this transfer RNA (67 nucleotides) under Marmota marmota marmota (Alpine marmot). It matches the Rfam family "tRNA". From Rfam's summary of the family: Transfer RNA (tRNA) molecules are approximately 80 nucleotides in length. Their secondary structure includes four short double-helical elements and three loops (D, anti-codon, and T loops). Lineage: Eukaryota; Metazoa; Chordata; Mammalia; Rodentia; Sciuridae. The record is from Rfam by way of RNAcentral. RNAcentral also lists the same sequence under 2 other names.